AAAUUGAAGAGUUUGAUCAUGGCUCAGAUUGAACGCUGGCGGCAGGCCUAACACAUGCAAGUCGAACGGUAACAGGAAGCAGCUUGCUGCUUUGCUGACGAGUGGCGGACGGGUGAGUAAUGUCUGGGAAACUGCCCGAUGGAGGGGGAUAACUACUGGAAACGGUAGCUAAUACCGCAUAACGUCGCAAGACGAAAGAGGGGGACCUUAGGGCCUCUUGCCAUCGGAUGUGCCCAGAUGGGAUUAGCUAGUA
RNAcentral lists this ribosomal RNA (253 nucleotides) under Escherichia coli O25b:H4-ST131. RNAcentral describes it as "partial 16S ribosomal RNA". It matches the Rfam family "Bacterial small subunit ribosomal RNA", at positions 1 to 250 of the family's 1533-position model. The record is from RNAcentral. Lineage: Bacteria; Pseudomonadati; Pseudomonadota; Gammaproteobacteria; Enterobacterales; Enterobacteriaceae.